CUAUUAAAAAUACAUCUAUUUGUCCUAUUAAAAAUGGACGUGCUUGAUAGAAUAACCAGACAAUGACACGUGGAGUGCCAUGUGUAUGAUAGCAUGACGUACAAUGACCAAUUUUUAAUAGUAAAAAUGGAUGGAAUUUUAACAA
Gossypium hirsutum (cotton) is the source of this 145-nucleotide non-coding RNA. Lineage: Eukaryota; Viridiplantae; Streptophyta; Magnoliopsida; Malvales; Malvaceae. The record is from Rfam.